Molecule: long non-coding RNA, 1663 nt
Filed under: Olea europaea subsp. europaea
Lineage: Eukaryota; Viridiplantae; Streptophyta; Magnoliopsida; Lamiales; Oleaceae
Source: RNAcentral
CCCGAAUCGGUUGACCUGCGGCUUGACAGAAUGAGGUGGUCUUCUGUUUUUCUCCUUUUUUUUGUUUAAUAAACCAUAUCAUUUGUAAUUUGAAAAUACCAUGAUGUAAACUGGCCCAAAAUAUAUAAACCCAUUUCACCCUCAAAUAACCCUAUUCAACUCAGAUUCUUCCAUCUCUCCAUAGAACCCAUCGACGACUCUACUCCAGCAACGAUAGAGACGCCAUCUUCUGAAAUGGAAUGCACGUUGUCGAAAUAUUCGACCUUUCCUUUAUUUCAGCAAGAAGUUUGGCCGCAUUUCGUUGAAUCGUGGAUGCCACAACCCAUCUUCUCGGACCAUAUCUGCAAAAACUCAAGUAUAAAUACAUAUAAGUGAAAGGUAGAGUAAAACCCAUCACAAAUAUUACAGCUUUGGAGGUGGAAUUGUAAGAGGGUUGGAUGAAAUUUGUGCUGGCCAUGGCUGUGGGUUUUUAACGGCUUGUUAGGGCUACACUGAUGUUAUCGACUUGCUUCUCUAUCGUGGCGCCAAAGUCGACAUCAAGGACCGGUGGGGAAGCACGGUAUGCUUGCCUUUGUAAUUAAUGUGUAAAACAGAAUUGUUAAUAUUCGGAAUUUUAAUGUCAAUUAAUUAAGUUGGAGAAAAUUUAUAAAAGCUUCAAAUUAUUUUUUUUCAAAUUAGUUACUAACAAUUUAGUGAUUAUAAUAAUUUGGACGAGUUCAUCACUUAAUUUCGCUCUAAUAUUAGAAGCUACUGUUUGACGAGGGUAAAACCUGAAUGAUUAUGAGAUAGAAAGUGGGGGAUAGGGCCAUGGGGAGUAAUCUGUUUGUGUAGCUGAGAUGUAUGAAAGUCUUAUUUCCAUUUCUUAAGAAGGAUUAUUUUAGCAUGAUCUUUGUGAUGUGUUCCCUUUUUUUUUUUGUAUCAAUCUUAGUUUGGCAUAAUUGGCAAUUUGUCAUAAUGUAAUGGAAAAUAUGGAAUAGUAAGAAGGCAAUUUCCACACUAUAGAUCUACUGAACUAUUCUUUGUCAAAUUUUAUCUUAUUAGGUGUUUGAUUCUCAACUUACCAUGAGAGGAAAGAAAGAGCACGGUUAACUGAUGAACAAGACACAGAGAUUUCUACGAAUGUGACUGUACGCAAAGAAAGAGCACGUAAUUGAAGGGAAUGAGAUUGGAAUUGGGUCGACUAGAAUUGUACUUUCCUUUAAAUGAAAUUGUAAUUUCAGUUAUGUGAAUAUAUGUUUUCUUGAAAUGAAUGUUAUCUUUGAUGCUGGUUGACUUGGCAGUUCAAAUUUAUGUUUCAUUCUUAGAGUUGUAAGUUUUGAGUUACCUUCGACUGGAAGUCCUAGGGAGAAAUCUGGACUGGAUCUUUUGGACAAAAAUGAACUUUUGUAAUGAAAUUUGUCAUAUUAAUGUAUUUGUUUGAAAUUUGUCACAUUAUUCUAUUUCGUUUCACAUCUAUUUAGAGCCUCUUUCUACCUAUCAUCUUGGACGGAUGUUUGCUUAUAUGCUUCAAAGGUCGUCAAACAAAACUUGAUUAUCAAUUCAACUUCAAAAAAUGUCAAUUCCCCAACCAAAAACACAGCAAUUCUAUGUAAAUAUAACAUAAGUGAUGGCUGUAAUUUCUCACUGUCCUUGGCUUCCAGUGCCCUAAAUUGUUUGCAAAAAC